GGCCGUCUGGCGAAAUGACAUCGCGUCUGACUACGAAUCAGGAGAUUGCAGGUUCGACCCCUGCGAUGGUCA
This 72-nucleotide transfer RNA is filed under the name Coprinellus micaceus. It matches the Rfam family "tRNA". Rfam says of the family: Transfer RNA (tRNA) molecules are approximately 80 nucleotides in length. Their secondary structure includes four short double-helical elements and three loops (D, anti-codon, and T loops). The record is from Rfam by way of RNAcentral. Lineage: Eukaryota; Fungi; Basidiomycota; Agaricomycetes; Agaricales; Psathyrellaceae.